CAAUUAAAUUACUCCUCAUUUUGAUAGUAGCCUGAAACAAUAAUAAUAAUUAUUACCAUCAUCUAUAUUUAUACAUAUUUAUAACUAUACAUUAUUUUCAUAAAAUUUGUCAUAUAAUAGUUUAUCUUUUACUCUUAUCUUUCUGCCCCUUUUUCAUUUUCUGACACUUCGCCUUCCCACCCGCUAUUUCUGCCGGAUACUUCGUCUUUUCACCUUUCUACUUUCUAAUUCACGUGUUCUCGUGAUCUAUUGUUAUUUAAACAAAUCACUUUCGUAAAAAGCGAAAAAAAAAAAAGAUCUUUUCGUACUUUUUUUUUAUACUAUUUGUAUUUAUUAAUAUCUCCAGACAAGUCAAAUUUUUUCUGAAGUUUUACUUUAUCAAACUUUCAUUCAUUUAUAGUAUUAGUUCACCGUAAUGCGUGAAUAACUUCACGUAAAUUAUA
RNAcentral lists this long non-coding RNA (443 nucleotides) under Ananas comosus (pineapple). RNAcentral describes it as "long non-coding RNA (ACOM_LNC038082)". Lineage: Eukaryota; Viridiplantae; Streptophyta; Magnoliopsida; Poales; Bromeliaceae. The record is from RNAcentral.